RNAcentral lists this ribosomal RNA (433 nucleotides) under uncultured bacterium. RNAcentral's name for it is "partial 16S ribosomal RNA". It matches the Rfam family "Bacterial small subunit ribosomal RNA", at positions 29 to 507 of the family's 1533-position model. The record is from RNAcentral.
AACGAACGCUGGCGGCAUGCCUAACACAUGCAAGUCGAACGAGACCUUCGGGUCUAGUGGCGCACGGGUGCGUAACGCGUGGGAACCUGCCCUUAGGUUCGGAAUAACUCCCCGAAAGGGGUGCUAAUACCGGAUAAUGUCUUCGGACCAAAGAUUUAUCGCCUUUGGAUGGGCCCGCGUUGGAUUAGCUAGUUGGUAGGGUAAAAGCCUACCAAGGCGACGAUCCAUAGCUGGUCUGAGAGGAUGAUCAGCCACACUGGGACUGAGACACGGCCCAGACUCCUACGGGAAGCAGCAGUGGGGUAUAUUGGACAAUGGGCGAAAGCCUGAUCCAGCAAUGCCGCGUGAGUGAUGAAGGCCUUAGGGUUGUAAAGCUCUUUUACCCGGGAUGAUAAUGACAGUACCGGGAGAAUAAGCUCCGGCUAACUCCGUG